UCCCUGGUGGCUCAGAUGGUAAAGAACCUGCCUGCAAUGCAGGAGACCCAGGUUCAAUCCCUGGGUUGGGAA
RNAcentral lists this transfer RNA (72 nucleotides) under Bos taurus (domestic cattle). It matches the Rfam family "tRNA". Rfam says of the family: Transfer RNA (tRNA) molecules are approximately 80 nucleotides in length. Their secondary structure includes four short double-helical elements and three loops (D, anti-codon, and T loops). RNAcentral also lists the same sequence under 9 other names. The record is from Rfam by way of RNAcentral. Lineage: Eukaryota; Metazoa; Chordata; Mammalia; Artiodactyla; Bovidae.